Molecule: transfer RNA, 74 nt
Filed under: Myxococcales bacterium
Lineage: Bacteria; Pseudomonadati; Myxococcota; Myxococcia; Myxococcales
Description: tRNA-Arg
Rfam family: tRNA
About the family: Transfer RNA (tRNA) molecules are approximately 80 nucleotides in length. Their secondary structure includes four short double-helical elements and three loops (D, anti-codon, and T loops). Further hydrogen bonds mediate the characteristic L-shaped molecular structure. tRNAs have two regions of fundamental functional importance: the anti-codon, which is responsible for specific mRNA codon recognition, and the 3' end, to which the tRNAs corresponding amino acid is attached (by aminoacyl-tRNA synthetases). tRNAs cope with the degeneracy of the genetic code in two manners: having more than one tRNA (with a specific anti-codon) for a particular amino acid; and 'wobble' base-pairing, i.e. permitting non-standard base-pairing at the 3rd anti-codon position.
Source: RNAcentral
GCGGUCGUAGCUCAGCUGGAUAGAGCACCAGACUUCGAAUCUGGUGGUCGCGCGUUCGAAUCGCGACGGCCGCA